Molecule: long non-coding RNA, 724 nt
Organism: Anolis carolinensis (green anole)
Lineage: Eukaryota; Metazoa; Chordata; Lepidosauria; Squamata; Anolidae
Exons: 3
Source: RefSeq, a predicted model, not a curated record
AAGCCCAAACAACAAAAUGAAGAUGAAAUAAAACCCCCAUUGUUUACCAUGCAUGCGCAGAGCUUCCUCUGAACUGAAAUAACUACAUUACCCAGAGGACCUUGCACCUGUGGGCAGAGCCUAAUCCAACUUCCUCAAAACGUUGCCAUGGUCGGCGGGACUUCCCUUUCCUUGGCCCCUUUCCCCCUCAGAAGAGAGAAAGGUCUCGCCACAGACUUCAGAGGACAUUGAAUGUCAGACUACCUGGGGAGAGGCCCUACUGGACAUCACAAAGGACUCAUUUCCUGGAGGAAGGAGGCCAGUUUCAACAGAAGCCACCUCUUUUCUCAAAAGGCUGUCUGGAAUGAAACAAUGUUGGAACCACUCUGCACCUGCAAGGACAAAUAAAUCUGUAUAAUUCACAAUGCAAUGUGAUGCACAAUAUUUCGUCUCCUUCCUGGAAUCAGAGCAUUUUGCACAUCCAUUUAUUUCUGAAUGAUAGGAGACUUUUGGAUGGAGAAUGAAAUUAGUGACAAUAGGCCAAUUUCUGGUUCCAAAUGGAGUCGUUGUUAAAUCAAGUGUGCUUUAUGCAAAGCACUAGGGCCAAUUACAAUUUGGGUGAAAACAAGUUGAUCCUCAAAACCUUUCUGCACACAUGGGAGUGUUUGAUUGAUAAUAAGAGUAGUUUCAGGCAGCUUAACUAACUUUUCAAAAUAUGAAACACAGUCCUAAGUAAUCAGAAUCA